RNAcentral lists this ribosomal RNA (830 nucleotides) under uncultured archaeon. RNAcentral's name for it is "bacterial SSU rRNA". It matches the Rfam family "Archaeal small subunit ribosomal RNA", at positions 23 to 859 of the family's 1478-position model. The record is from RNAcentral.
GUCACUGCUAUUGGGAUUCGACUAAGCCAUGCGAGUCGAGAGGGUUCGGCCCUCGGCUGACGGCUCAGUAACACGUGGAUAAUCUGCCCUUAGGUGGAGGAUAACCUCGGGAAACUGAGAAUAAUACUCCAUAGGUCUAGGAUGCUGGAAUGCACUUAGGCUCAAAGCUCCGGCGCCUAAGGAUGGGUCUGCGGCCUAUCAGGUUGUAGUGAGUGUAACGGACUCACUAGCCUACGACGGGUACGGGCCCUGAGAGGGGGAGCCCGGAGAUGGACUCUGAGACACGAGUCCAGGCCCCAAGGGGCGCAGCAGCUACGAAAACUUCACAAUGCGGGAAACCGCGAUGAGGGGAUUCCAAGUGCUGCAGUAUAACUGUAGCUGUUUAGUUGCCUAAAAAGCAAGUAGAGUAAGGGCUGGGUAAGACUGGUGCCAGCCGCCGCGGUAAUACCAGCAGCCCGAGUGGUGACCACUUUUAUUGGGCCUAAAGCGUCCGUAGCCUGUUUGGUAAACCCUUGGGUAAAUCGAGCAGCUUAACUGUUCGACUUCUGAGGAGACUGCCAGACUUGGGACCGGGAGAGGUUGGAAGUACUUUUGGGGUAGGGGUGAAAUCCUGUAAUCCCAAAAGGACUACCGGUGGCGAAGGCGUCCAACUAGAACGGGUCCGACGGUAAGGGACGAAGCCCUGGGUCACGAACCGGAUUAGAUACCCGGGUAGUCCAGGGUGUAAACGCUGCAGGCUUGGUGUUGGGGGUCCUACGAGGGCGUCCAGUGCCGGAGAGAAGUUGUUAAGCCUGCCGCCUGGGGAGUACGGUCGCAAGACUGAAACUUAA